ACCAAUGACUAUGAUGUGAAAAUGCGCAAUGUUUUCAAGUUUCUGGAAAACGGAGAUAAGGUGAAAGUCACCUUGCGUUUCCGUGGUCGCGAGAUGGCUCACCUUAACCUUGGUCGCGAACUUCUGGAACGCGUUGCUGACGACAUCGAAGGCAAAGGCAAGGUCGAGAACUUCCCCAAGAUGGAAGGUCGCCAAAUGAUCAUGCUGAUCGGCCCGAUGAAAGCCUGAUCUAUCCGAUUUGUUUGAUUUUGAGAGCCCCGAGGACCCGCUGGUCGUCGGGGCUUUUUCUUAUCUAGCUUCGUUUUGGAUUGCGCGGGUGCGGGCGCGUCGGA
Molecule: unclassified non-coding RNA, 332 nt
Filed under: Litoreibacter janthinus
Lineage: Bacteria; Pseudomonadati; Pseudomonadota; Alphaproteobacteria; Rhodobacterales; Roseobacteraceae
Description: Long range pseudoknot
Source: RNAcentral